AGCGAACGCUGGCGGCAGGCCUAACACAUGCAAGUCGAGCGCCCAGCAAUGGGAGCGGCAGACGGGAUAGUAACACGUGGGAACGUACCCUUCAGUUCGGAACAACUCAGGGAAACUUGGGCUAAUACCGAAUACGUCCGUAAGGAGAAAGAUUUAUCGCUGAAGGAUCGGCCCGCGUCUGAUUAGCUAGUUGGUGAGGUAACGGCUCACCAAGGCGACGAUCAGUAGCNGGUCUGAGAGGAUGAUCAGCAUCACUGGGACUGAGACACGGCCCAGACUCCUACGGGAGCAGCAGUGGGGAAUAUUGGACAAUGGGCGCAAGCCUGAUCCAGCCAUGCCGCGUGGAUGAUGAA
Molecule: ribosomal RNA, 353 nt
Filed under: uncultured bacterium
Lineage: Bacteria
Description: bacterial SSU rRNA
Rfam family: Bacterial small subunit ribosomal RNA
Source: RNAcentral